AUCUAAAGUGCCAAAGGGCUUCUUGAGGUAGAAAAGUAGGUUGAGGUUGAGGUUGAACUUGAGAAGAUGCUAUGGUGGCAGAGGGUGUAUCUUGUGUGGUAAGGAAAUACAGUCCUUCAAAUAAUUCACCCGAACCAAUCAUCUUCAAGCUCCUCUUUUCCUGUAUAACACAUUUACCAUCAUCAAAAGUUACUAAGCAAUUAUUAUCUUUGCAUAAUUCAGGUACAGAUAACAAAUUGAGACUGAAUUCAGGCACAAACAGAACAUUUUUGCCAACAAGUCCUGGUGAAAACUUAACAAUACCAGAAAAUCUUGCUACAACUAAAUGUCCAUUAGGUAAUUUGAUAUUGACAGGUGAUAUAGAGUUAUACGAAUCAUAGAACUUCAGUGAUGAACAUAUGUGGUCACUAGCACCAGAAUCCACAAUCCAAGAACCAAUUUUGGAAUGAUGUAAUGAGUAAGAAAUUCUAGAGAUACCUGAAUUAGUAUGACUUGUAACGUGUGAAACCACCUUACUU
RNAcentral lists this long non-coding RNA (518 nucleotides) under Medicago truncatula (barrel medic). RNAcentral's name for it is "long non-coding RNA (MTRU_LNC008400)". Lineage: Eukaryota; Viridiplantae; Streptophyta; Magnoliopsida; Fabales; Fabaceae. The record is from RNAcentral.